RNAcentral lists this ribosomal RNA (235 nucleotides) under uncultured bacterium. RNAcentral's name for it is "partial 16S ribosomal RNA". It matches the Rfam family "Bacterial small subunit ribosomal RNA", at positions 120 to 354 of the family's 1533-position model. The record is from RNAcentral.
AGUAACCUGCCUUGGAGUGGGGAAUAACAGCUGGAAACAGCUGCUAAUACCGCAUGAUGCAGUUGGGUCGCAUGGCUCUGACUGCCAAAGAUUUAUCGCUCUGAGAUGGACUCGCGUCUGAUUAGCUAGUUGGCGGGGUAACGGCCCACCAAGGCGACGAUCAGUAGCCGGACUGAGAGGUUGGCCGGCCACAUUGGGACUGAGACACGGCCCAGACUCCUACGGGAGGCAGCAG